AGAGAGAGACAUGCGCGCAUAUCAAUAAGCGGAGGAAAAGAAACUAACAAGGAUUCCCCUAGUAACGGCGAGUGAAGCGGGAAGAGCUCAAAUUUGAAAUCUUAAAGGGUUUCCCUUUACGAAUUGUAGUUUAAAGAAGUGUUUUCUGUUGAGGUUUUGGUAAAAGUUCUUUGGAAUAGGACAUCAUAGAGGGUGAGAAUCCCGUAUUUGACCUUUACUUUCAACUUUGUGAUACACUUUCAAAGAGUCGGAUUGUUUGGGAAUGCAGUCCAAAAUGGGUGGUAAAUUUCAUCUAAAGCUAAAUAUUGGCGAGAGACCGAUAGCGAACAAGUACCGUGAGGGAAAGAUGAAAAGAACUUUGAAAAGAGAGUUAAACAGUACGUGAAAUUGUCAAAAGGGUAGCGUUUGACACCAGUGUUGUUUUUCUGAAAAUCAAUUAAAGAACUGUUUAUGCUAAGCUGUUUAGACUUUAUCAGCUAUCUGUUUAGUUUUGAGCUUUUCUUUAAUGCACUUUUCAGUUAACAAGUCAACAUCAAUUUCUUUUGCUGUAAAAAAGCUUGAGGAAGGUGGCUUGAGAUUCGUCUUAAGUGUUUAUAGCCUCUUGCCUAUGCAGUCGGAGAGAUUGAGGUCUGCAGCGUAGAUCCUUCGGGGCUAAAUGCAUUUGUGCUAAGUUAUAGCAUUUUAUAGACAACUUGUUGACUAUGAUUUGUCUUGUAGCUUACUCGCUUAUGUUAUUUUACCUACGCUUAGGAUGUUGACGCAUGAGAUAUACGC
This 774-nucleotide ribosomal RNA is filed under the name uncultured Neocallimastigales. Its description in RNAcentral is "partial large subunit ribosomal RNA". It matches the Rfam family "Eukaryotic large subunit ribosomal RNA", at positions 23 to 647 of the family's 3401-position model. Lineage: Eukaryota; Fungi; Neocallimastigomycota; Neocallimastigomycetes; Neocallimastigales. The record is from RNAcentral.